GGUGAGAUGGCCGAGCGGUCUAAGGCGCCAGGUUCAGGUCCACCUGAAUUUCCAUACUGCACAGUAUUUCCUGGUCUCGAAAGGGGCGUGGGUUCGAAUCCCACUCUCAUCA
This is a non-coding RNA of Triangularia setosa, 112 nucleotides long. Lineage: Eukaryota; Fungi; Ascomycota; Sordariomycetes; Sordariales; Podosporaceae. The record is from the annotation of a GenBank genome assembly.